Long non-coding RNA from Sinocyclocheilus rhinocerous, 284 nucleotides. RefSeq lists it as uncharacterized. The record is from RefSeq and is a predicted model, not a curated record. NCBI's taxonomy places the organism in Eukaryota, Metazoa, Chordata, Actinopteri, Cypriniformes, Cyprinidae. The transcript is spliced from 3 exons.
CUGGACGCCAUAGCUAAUGAGACCGAGCGCAAGGCCCUGGAAGGCAUCAUCAGCAACUUUGGCCAGACGCCCUGUCAGCUUCUCAAGGAGCCCCAUCCUCCCCGUAUGUCAGCAGAGAAUGCAUUCAGGCGGAAUGCCCGUCUGGACAUUCUGCCCCCCAACCUUUUUGAUCAGCUCAGUAAACUCCGGUCUUUUAAGGAGGUGGUGAGCGAUGGUCUGCCGUUAGUGCAAGCCGUGGUGCCCAGAAAUCAAACCCGCUCCUUCAUCAUCCUUGGUUCUGACAU